CGGAGUUAGCCGGUGCUUAUUCCUAAGGUACCGUCAGAAUUCUUCCCUCAGAAAAGAACUUUACGAUCUUUCGACCUUCAUCGUUCACGCGGUGUUGCUCCAUCAGGCUUUCGCCCAUUGUGGAAGAUUCUUU
Molecule: ribosomal RNA, 133 nt
Filed under: uncultured bacterium
Lineage: Bacteria
Description: partial 16S ribosomal RNA
Source: RNAcentral